This 352-nucleotide unclassified non-coding RNA is filed under the name soil metagenome. RNAcentral's name for it is "partial contains 5.8S ribosomal RNA, internal transcribed spacer 2, and large subunit ribosomal RNA". The stretch from base 1 to 120 matches the Rfam family "5.8S ribosomal RNA", at positions 35 to 154 of the family's 154-position model. The record is from RNAcentral.
GAUGAAGAACGCAGCGAAAUGAGAUAAGUAAUGUGAAUUGCAGAAUUCAGUGAAUCAUCGAAUCUUUGAACGCACAUUGCGCCCGCCAGUAUUCUGGCGGGCAUGCCUGUUCGAGCGUCAUUACAACCCUCAGGCCCCCGGGCCUGGCGUUGGGGAUCGGCGGAAGCCCCCUGUGGGCACACGCCGUCCCUCAAAUACAGUGGCGGUCCCGCCGCAGCUUCCAUUGCGUAGUAGCUAACACCUCGCAACUGGAGAGCGGCGCGGCCAUGCCGUAAAACACCCAACUUCUGAAUGUUGACCUCGAAUCAGGCAGGAAUACCCGCUGAACUUAAGCAUAUCAAUAAGCGGAGGA